RNAcentral lists this unclassified non-coding RNA (432 nucleotides) under soil metagenome. RNAcentral describes it as "partial contains 5.8S ribosomal RNA, internal transcribed spacer 2, and large subunit ribosomal RNA". The stretch from base 1 to 120 matches the Rfam family "5.8S ribosomal RNA", at positions 35 to 154 of the family's 154-position model. The record is from RNAcentral.
GAUGAAGAACGCAGCGAAAUGCGAUACGUAAUGUGAAUUGCAGAAUUCAGUGAAUCAUCGAAUCUUUGAACGCGUAUUGCGCUCUCUGGUAUUCCGGAGAGCAUGCUUGUUUGAGUAUCAGUAAACACCUCAACUUCCAUAUCUUUUUUGAAAUGGGAGUUGGACUUGAGUGAUCCCAACGCUUUUCCUCACCGAAAAGUGGCGGGUUACUUGAAAUGCAGGUGCAGCUGGACUUUUCUCUGAGCUAUAAGCAUAUCUAUUUAGUCUGCCUAAAAACAGAUUAUUACCUUUGCUGCAGCUAACAUAAAGGAGAUUAGUUCUUGUGCUGACUGAUGCAGGAUUCACAAAGACAGGCUUCGGCCGACUUUGUAAACUCGAUCUCAAAUCAAGUAAGACUACCCGCUGAACUUAAGCAUAUCAAUAAGCGGAGGA